This 231-nucleotide unclassified non-coding RNA is filed under the name fungal sp. RNAcentral's name for it is "partial internal transcribed spacer region". The stretch from base 1 to 57 matches the Rfam family "Eukaryotic small subunit ribosomal RNA", at positions 1775 to 1831 of the family's 1831-position model. The record is from RNAcentral. Lineage: Eukaryota; Fungi.
AAAAGAAGUAAAAGUCGUAACAAGGUUUCCGUAGGUGAACCUGCGGAAGGAUCAUUAAAGUAUUUGAAGUUAUGCUAUCAGUCGCAAGACUAUGGUAUAUACUUAUCUUGUGAACUUGGUACCAUGUUAUAUACAUAUGCAGUCGCAUAUGUAUAAUUACCCUUUAUUUCUAUUAUAGACAAAAACAUACAAAAUAUAAUACAACUUUUAACAAUGGAUCUCUUGGCUCCU